RNAcentral lists this ribosomal RNA (253 nucleotides) under uncultured bacterium. RNAcentral's name for it is "partial 16S ribosomal RNA". It matches the Rfam family "Bacterial small subunit ribosomal RNA", at positions 524 to 776 of the family's 1533-position model. The record is from RNAcentral.
UACGUAGGGUGCUAGCGUUGUUCGGAAUCAUUGGGCGUAAAGCGGGUGUAGGUGGUUACACAAGUUGAAUGUGAAAGCCCUCGGCUCAACCGAGGAAGUGCAUUCAAAACUAUGUAGCUAGAAGACAGUAGAGGGAGGUGGAAUUCCUAGUGUAGAGGUGAAAUUCGUAGAUAUUAGGAGGAAUACCUGAGGCGAAGGCGGCCUCCUGGGCUGUUCUUGACACUGAGACCCGAAAGCGUGGGUAGCAAACAGG